This 531-nucleotide long non-coding RNA is filed under the name Bos taurus (domestic cattle). RNAcentral describes it as "long non-coding RNA NONBTAT024045". The record is from RNAcentral. Lineage: Eukaryota; Metazoa; Chordata; Mammalia; Artiodactyla; Bovidae.
UACAAUUGUGCAGCUUUUAAAAUUGCAGAGUAAUAUAGUAGUAAAAUUUUUUACAUAUUCCAGUAUGGAAAACAAUUUGAACAUACAGAAUCUUCAGGAAAUGACUUCAGAUAGAUAGAUAGAUAAGCUUUUCAACCAACUGAUGGUUUACUGCAAUAAAACCCCCCUUUAAAAAAAAAAAAGUGGGCUGGAAAUCGCAGUAGAAAAUUUUUGCCUUCUCUUUUAAAAUUAGUAUCUCUGAUUAAAAUCUGCUUAUUCUUUCAUGCUCCCAUAAUAGAUUAAGAAAACAAUAACCUUGCUGUAUUUUCAGUGUCAAAUUCAAGACCCUCUGAUUUAUGGAUUCCUCCACAUUAGUGCAUUAAGCAUGUUAAGUUCACAUAUGUUUUUAGUACCUUUUACCAGUGUCCUUCUCAAUAUAGACGGUUCUGUAAAUUAUGAAAUUAUCACAACACCUCAAAAGUUGGGUUGAUUGCUACACCUGAGUCAGGAGUCUUCAAGACAACUAGUUCUCUUACUAAUCACAUUAUUUGG